This 484-nucleotide ribosomal RNA is filed under the name uncultured bacterium. Its description in RNAcentral is "partial 16S ribosomal RNA". It matches the Rfam family "Bacterial small subunit ribosomal RNA", at positions 28 to 507 of the family's 1533-position model. The record is from RNAcentral.
GUUGAACGCUGGCGGCGGGCCUAACACAUGCAAGUCGAGCGGAUAGAGGGAGCUUUCGCCUGGAGUCAGCGGCGGGCGGGGGAGUAAUGCCUAGGAAUCUGCCGGGUAGGGGGGUGUAACAUCCGGAAGCGGGCGCUGAUACCGCAGACUUCGUGAUUGAGCAGGUUGGGGAGCGUCGGACAUCACGCUAUGAGCUGAACCUAGGUCGGAUUAGAUAGUUGGUUGGGUAAGGGCCUGCCAAGGCGACGAUCCGUAGAUGGUCUGAGAGGAUGAUCAGUCACACUGGAAGUGAGACACGGUCCAGACUCCUAAGGGAGGCAGCAGUCGGGAAUAUUGGACAAUGGGCGAAAGUCUGAUACAGCCAUGCGGAGCGUGUGAAGAAGGCCUUCGGAUCGUAAAGCACUUUUAGUUGGGAUGAACCGCAGUAACCUAAUACCUUGCUUUUUUGACGUUACCAACAGAAUAAGCACCGGCUAACUACGUG